UCAGGACGAACGCUGGCGGCGUGCCUAAUACAUGCAAGUCGAACGAACUCUGGUAUUGAUUGGUGCUUGCAUCAUGAUUUACAUUUGAGUGAGUGGCGAACUGGUGAGUAACACGUGGGAAACCUGCCCAGAAGCGGGGGAUAACACCUGGAAACAGAUGCUAAUACCGCAUAACAACUUGGACCGCAUGGUCCGAGUUUGAAAGAUGGCUUCGGCUAUCACUUUUGGAUGGUCCCGCGGCGUAUUAGCUAGAUGGUGGGGUAACGGCUCACCAUGGCAAUGAUACGUAGCCGACCUGAGAGGGUAAUCGGCCACAUUGGGACUGAGACACGGCCCAAACUCCUACGGGAGGCAGCAGUAGGGAAUCUUCCACAAUGGACGAAAGUCUGAUGGAGCAACGCCGCGUGAGUGAAGAAGGGUUUCGGCUCGUAAAACUCUGUUGUUAAAGAAGAACAUAUCUGAGAGUAACUGUUCAGGUAUGACGGUAU
This 488-nucleotide ribosomal RNA is filed under the name Lactiplantibacillus plantarum. RNAcentral's name for it is "bacterial SSU rRNA". It matches the Rfam family "Bacterial small subunit ribosomal RNA", at positions 24 to 478 of the family's 1533-position model. Lineage: Bacteria; Bacillati; Bacillota; Bacilli; Lactobacillales; Lactobacillaceae. The record is from RNAcentral.